This 497-nucleotide ribosomal RNA is filed under the name uncultured bacterium. RNAcentral's name for it is "partial 16S ribosomal RNA". It matches the Rfam family "Bacterial small subunit ribosomal RNA", at positions 28 to 507 of the family's 1533-position model. The record is from RNAcentral.
GAUGAACGCUGGCGGCGUGCCUAAUACAUGCCAGUCGAGCGAACAGACGAGGAGCUUGCUCCUCUGACGUUAGCGGCGGACGGGUGAGUAACACGUGGAUAACCUACCUAUAAGACUGGGAUAACUUCGGGAAACCGGAGCUAAUACCGGAUAAUAUAUUGAACCGCAUGGUUCAAUAGUGAAAGACGGUUUUGCUGUCACUUAUAGAUGGAUCCGCGCCGGAUUAGCUAGUUGGUAAGGUAACGGCUUACCAAGGCAACGAUGCGUAGCCGACCUGAGAGGGUGAUCGGCCACACUGGAACUGAGACACGGUCCAGAGUCCUAAGGGAGGCAGCAGUAGGGAAUCUGACGCAAUGGGCGAAAGCCUGACGGAGCAACGCCGCGUGAGUGAUGAAGGUCUUCGGAUCGUAAAACUCUGUUAUUAGGGAAGAACAAAUGUGUAAGUAACUAUGCACGUCUUGACGGUACCUAAUCAGAAAGCCACGGCUAACUACGUG